UGGGGAAUAUUGCACAAUGGGCGAAAGCCUGAUGCAGCAACGCCGCGUGAGUGAUGAAGGUCUUCGGAUUGUAAAGCUCUGUCUUUUGGGACGAUAAUGACGGUACCAAAGGAGGAAGCCACGGCUAACUACGUGCCAGCAGCCGCGGUAAUACGUAGGUGGCGAGCGUUGUCCGGAUUUACUGGGCGUAAAGGGUGCGUAGGCGGAUGUUUAAGUGAGAUGUGAAAUACCCGGGCUUAACUUGGGUGCUGCAUUUCAAACUGGAUAUCUAGAGUGCAGGAGAGGAGAAUGGAAUUCCUAGUGUAGCGGUGAAAUGCGUAGAGAUUAGGAAGAACACCAGUGGCGAAGGCGAUUCUCUGGACUGUAACUGACGCUGAGGCACGAAAGCGUGGGUAGCAACAGGAUUAGAUACCCUGGUAGUCCACGCCGUAAACGAUGAGUACUAGGUGUAGGAGGUAUCGACCCCUUCUGUGCCGCAGUAAACACAUUAAGUACUCCGCCUGGGAAGUACGAUCGCAAGAUUAAAACUCUAAAUGAAUUGAC
RNAcentral lists this ribosomal RNA (543 nucleotides) under uncultured bacterium. Its description in RNAcentral is "partial 16S ribosomal RNA". It matches the Rfam family "Bacterial small subunit ribosomal RNA", at positions 355 to 914 of the family's 1533-position model. The record is from RNAcentral.